UGAACGCUGGCGGCGUGCCUAACACAUGCAAGUCGAACGGAAGAUUAUCGCUGAUGAAGCUUCGGCAGAAUCUUGAUAAUCUUUAGUGGCGGACGGGUGAGUAACGCGUGGGCAACCUGCCUCGUACUGGGGGAUAACAGUUGGAAACGACUGUUAAUACCGCAUAAGCGCACGGUAUCGCAUGAUACAGUGUGAAAAACUCCGGUGGUACGAGAUGGGCCCGCGUCAGAUUAGCCAGUUGGUGGGGUAACGGCCUACCAAAGCAACGAUCUGUAGCCGGACUGAGAGGUCGGACGGCCACAUUGGGACUGAGACACGGCCCAAACUCCUACGGGAGGCAGCAGUGGGGGAUAUUGCACAAUGGGCGAAAGCCUGAUGCAGCGACGCCGCGUGAGUGAAGAAGUAUUUCGGUAUGUAAAGCUCUAUCAGCAGGGAAGAAAGACUCGUAAGAGAGAUGACGGUACCUGACUAAGAAGCCCCGGCUAACUACGUGCCAGCCGCUGC
Molecule: ribosomal RNA, 504 nt
Filed under: uncultured bacterium
Lineage: Bacteria
Description: bacterial SSU rRNA
Rfam family: Bacterial small subunit ribosomal RNA
Source: RNAcentral